GACGAACGCUGGCGGCGUGCCUAAUACAUGCAAGUUGAGCGAUGAAGUUUGGUGCUUGCACCAAUUUGAAGAGCAGCGAACGGGUGAGUAACGCGUGGGGAAUCUGCCCUUGAGCGGGGGACAACAUUUGGAAACGAAUGCUAACACCGCAUAACAACUUUAAACAUAAGUUUUAAGUUUGAAAGAUGCAAUUGCAUCACUCAAAGAUGAUCCCGCGUUGUAUUAGCUAGUUGGUGAGGUAAAGGCUCACCAAGGCGAUGAUACAUAGCCGACCUGAGAGGGUGAUCGGCCACAUUGGGACUGGGACACGGCCCAAACGCCUACGGGAGGCAGCAGUAGGGAAUCUUCGGCAAUGGACGAAAGUCUGACCGAGCAACGCCGCGUGAGUGAAGAAGGUUUUCGGAUCGUAAAAAUCUGUUGGUAGAGAAGAACGUUGGUGAGAGUGGAAAGCUCAUAAAGUGACGGUAACUACACAGAAAGGGACGGCUAACUACGUG
RNAcentral lists this ribosomal RNA (497 nucleotides) under uncultured bacterium. RNAcentral describes it as "partial 16S ribosomal RNA". It matches the Rfam family "Bacterial small subunit ribosomal RNA", at positions 28 to 507 of the family's 1533-position model. The record is from RNAcentral.